GCAGCGGGGGAGAGCUUGCUUUCCUGCCGGCGAGUGGCGAACGGGUGAGUAAUACAUCGGAACGUGCCCUGUAGUGGGGGAUAACUAGUCGAAAAAUUACCUAAUACCGCAUACGACCUGUGGGUGAAGGUGUGGGACUUUAAGGCCUCAUGCUAUACUAACGGCCGAUGUCUGAUUACCUUAUUGGUGUGGUUAAGGUCUACCCUCGCCACGAUUGCUAUGUGGUCUGAGAGGAAGAUCACCCCCACUGGGACUGACACUGGGACCAGACUCCUACUCCAAGCAGCAGUGGGAAAUUUUGAACUUUGUGCGAGAACCUGAUCCUGAACUGCCCCGUGUGUGAGGAAGAUCUUCGCCUUCUAAAACACUUUUGUCCUUAAAGAAAUG
RNAcentral lists this ribosomal RNA (387 nucleotides) under Ralstonia pickettii. Its description in RNAcentral is "bacterial SSU rRNA". It matches the Rfam family "Bacterial small subunit ribosomal RNA", at positions 66 to 452 of the family's 1533-position model. The record is from RNAcentral. Lineage: Bacteria; Pseudomonadati; Pseudomonadota; Betaproteobacteria; Burkholderiales; Burkholderiaceae.